This 437-nucleotide ribosomal RNA is filed under the name uncultured bacterium. RNAcentral's name for it is "partial 16S ribosomal RNA". It matches the Rfam family "Bacterial small subunit ribosomal RNA", at positions 29 to 507 of the family's 1533-position model. The record is from RNAcentral.
AGCGAACGCUGGCGGCAGGCCUAACACAUGCAAGUCGAGCGGGCAUCCUUGUGGUGUCUGCGGCAGACGGGUGCGUAACGCGUGGGAACGUGCCCUUCGUUUCGGACUAACUUAGGGAAACUUGAGCUAAUACCGGAUACAUGCUAGAGCAGAAAGGGUUCUAUGCCGAAGGAUAGGCGCGCGUCUGAUUAUAUAGUUGGUGAGGUUACGGCGCACCAAGGCGUCGAUCACUAGCUGGUCUGAGAGGAAGAUCAGCCACACUGGGAGUGCGACACGGCCGAGACUCCUGGGGGAGGCAGCAGUGGGGAAUAUUGGACUAUGGGGGCGACCAUGAUCCAGCCAGGCCGCGUGAGUGAUGACGGUCUUAGGGUUGUAAAGCUGGUUACUACGGGACGAUAAUGACGGUACCGGAGGAAUAAGCCCCGGCUAACUUCGUG